UGACUCGACGCAAUUCGUCCCGACUCUAAUUCGACUUCAUGAGGUUCGAUUCGAUUUGACCGCUACUUUAAAUGCAGCGGAUAUACUGAUCGGAUGAACGAUGUGCCCGUUUCCUGGCUAGCUUCCAGCAAUUAGUUCCAGUUAAGGAUGCGCUCGCGCCGAUAGCUACUGGCGAUUCGCUCGUUUAACAGCGUAACGGCGAGCCAGCAGGAGUCAGGGCCGGUGACUGGCAUCGUGGAAGGAGGAACAGAGGGAAACGGAGACAGAGGGACAAGGAUAAAAAGGUGGCUGGACCCUACGAGGGUGCUAGAAGGUGGGUACAGUCGCUAGGAAGAAUAUAGUAGAAAACGAGAACUUCCUUCGUUGCUCUUUUCUAUCUUUUUUCACUUCGCUCUUCCUCACCGGAAUCCCUCGACCGAACAUCAACUCCGCAACAAAAUAUCCAUGAAUUUUAAUAACGAACGAAUGUUGUAUUCGAGAUUUUUCAGCAAAACUGUACAGAUAAGAAUAUUUAUAAUACGGCAAAGAAAAAACAUAAUAUAAAUAUAGCAGCGUAGUGAACGAAGUAAUUUCCUUGUGCACACAGCGUAAA
This is a long non-coding RNA of Megachile rotundata (alfalfa leafcutting bee), 592 nucleotides long. Lineage: Eukaryota; Metazoa; Arthropoda; Insecta; Hymenoptera; Megachilidae. The record is from RefSeq and is a predicted model, not a curated record.